UAGGGAAUCUUCGGCAAUGGACGAAAGUCUGACCGAGCAACGCCGCGUGAGUGAAGAAGGAUUUCGGAUCGUAAAACUCUGUUGUUAGAGAAGAACAAGGACGUUAGUAACUGAACGUCCCCUGACGGUAUCUAACCAGAAAGCCACGGCUAACUACGUGCCAGCAGCCGCGGUAAUACGUAGGUGGCAAGCGUUGUCCGGAUUUAUUGGGCGUAAAGCGAGCGCAGGCGGUUUCUUAAGUCUGAUGUGAAAGCCCCCGGCUCAACCGGGGAGGGUCAUUGGAAACUGGGAGACUUGAGUGCAGAAGAGGAGAGUGGAAUUCCAUGUGUAGCGGUGAAAUGCGUAGAUAUAUGGAGGAACACCAGUGGCGAAGGCGGCUCUCUGGUCUGUAACUGACGCUGAGGAUCGAAAGCGUGGGGAGCAAACAGG
RNAcentral lists this ribosomal RNA (429 nucleotides) under Gemmatimonadota bacterium. RNAcentral describes it as "Gemmatimonadetes bacterium partial 16S ribosomal RNA". It matches the Rfam family "Bacterial small subunit ribosomal RNA", at positions 355 to 776 of the family's 1533-position model. The record is from RNAcentral. Lineage: Bacteria; Pseudomonadati; Gemmatimonadota.